UCAACAAAGCUCAGCACAAAACCCUGUGAUUGACUUGAGACUGAGCGACACGAUCCAUAAACUCAUCGCAUUGUGAUUGACCCUGUUACCUGUGGAGGAAAACAUACAGAGAGCACUCAUCACAUAAUGCUGCUAUUGGCUCCAAGCCUGCAGAGCACAACAUCCAUGCACAUUAUUUAUCACUGUGAUUAGGUCGUAGCCUGUGACACUCAACAUAGAUGCACAUUACAUAUCACUGUGAUUAGGCCGUAGCUUGUGACACUCAACAUCCAUGCACAUUAUUUAUCACUGUGAUUAGGUCGUAGCCUGUGACACUCAACAUAGAUGCACAUUACAUAUCACUGUGAUUAGGCCGUAGCUUGUGACACUCAACAUCCAUGCACAUUACAUAUCACUGUGAUUAGGCCGUAGCUUGUGACACUCAACGUCCAUGCACAUUACAUAUCACUGUGAUUAGGCCGUAGCUUGUGACACUCAACGUCCAUGCACAUUACAUAUCACUGUGAUUAGGCCGUAGCUUGUGACACUCAACAUCCAUGCACAUUACAUAUCACUGUGAUUAGGCCGUAGCUUGUGACACUCAACGUCCAUGCACAUUACAUAUCACUGUGAUUAGGCCGUAGCUUGUGACACUCAACAUCCAUGCACAUUACAUAUCACUGUGAUUAGGCCGUAGCUUGUGACACUCAACAUCCAUGCACAUUACAUAUCACUGUGAUUAGGCCGUAGCUUGUGACACUCAACAUAGAUGCACAUUACAUAUCACUGUGAUUAGGCCGUAGCUUGUGACACUCAACAUCCAUGCACAUUACAUAUCACUGUGAUUAGGCCGUAGCUUGUGACACUCAACAUCCAUGCACAUUACAUAUCACUGUGAUUAGGCCGUAGCUUGUGACACUCAACAUCCAUGCACAUUACAUAUCACUGUGAUUAGGCCGUAGCCUGUGACACUCAACGUCCAUGCACAUUACAUAUCACU
Molecule: long non-coding RNA, 979 nt
Organism: Oncorhynchus keta (chum salmon)
Lineage: Eukaryota; Metazoa; Chordata; Actinopteri; Salmoniformes; Salmonidae
Exons: 3
Source: RefSeq, a predicted model, not a curated record